Molecule: ribosomal RNA, 274 nt
Filed under: uncultured bacterium
Lineage: Bacteria
Description: partial 16S ribosomal RNA
Rfam family: Bacterial small subunit ribosomal RNA
Source: RNAcentral
AUACGGAGGGUGCAAGCGUUAUUCGGAAUCACUGGGCGUAAAGGACGCGUAGGCGGGUUGGCAAGUCAGAUGUGAAAUCCUACAGCUUAACGGUAGAACUGCAUUUGAAACUGCUAACCUAGAGUAUGGGAGGGGGAGAUGGAAUUAGUGGUGUAGGGGUAAAAUCCGUAGAUAUCACUAGGAAUACCGAAAGCGAAGGCGAUCUCCUGGAACAUAACUGACGCUAAGGCGUGAAAGCGUGGGGAGCAAACAGGAUUAGAAACCCUAGUAGUCC